GUUCUCCGCUCUCGAACUUAAGUCGAAUAAAUCUUGACAUAUGACAGACGAAGGGGUUUGACGAGUUAUCCAUGACCUCCAUCUUGUAGAGAUCCACGAUAGAAGGACUGUAUCACAUGAUAACUGCACCUAGAGGUUCAUCAUUCUAUUCUGCUGGGUAGCCACUACAUGCUGCUAGGUGUCACUGGUGGAUGGUGGGACUCACAGGGAUUAUCUCGAUGAUCAAU
RNAcentral lists this long non-coding RNA (227 nucleotides) under Phoenix dactylifera (date palm). RNAcentral describes it as "long non-coding RNA (PDAC_LNC010708)". Lineage: Eukaryota; Viridiplantae; Streptophyta; Magnoliopsida; Arecales; Arecaceae. The record is from RNAcentral.